This 73-nucleotide transfer RNA is filed under the name Ictidomys tridecemlineatus (thirteen-lined ground squirrel). Its description in RNAcentral is "Spermophilus tridecemlineatus (thirteen-lined ground squirrel) tRNA". It matches the Rfam family "tRNA". From Rfam's summary of the family: Transfer RNA (tRNA) molecules are approximately 80 nucleotides in length. The record is from Rfam by way of RNAcentral. Lineage: Eukaryota; Metazoa; Chordata; Mammalia; Rodentia; Sciuridae.
GGGAAUAUAGCUUAGCUGGUAGAGUGCUUGCCUAGCACGCACAAGGCCCUGGGUUCAAUCCCCAGUACUACAA